RNAcentral lists this ribosomal RNA (425 nucleotides) under uncultured bacterium. Its description in RNAcentral is "partial 16S ribosomal RNA". It matches the Rfam family "Bacterial small subunit ribosomal RNA", at positions 354 to 796 of the family's 1533-position model. The record is from RNAcentral.
GUGGGGAAUAUUGGACAAUGGGCGCAAGCCUGAUCCAGCCAUGCCGCGUGAGUGAUGAAGGCCCUAGGGUUGUAAAGCUCUUUCACCGAUGAAGAUAAUGACGGUAGUCGGAGAAGAAGCCCCGGCUAACUUCGUGCCAGCAGCCGCGGUAAUACGAAGGGGGCUAGCGUUGUUCGGAAUUACUGGGCGUAAAGCGCACGUAGGCGGAUAUUUAAGUCAGGGGUGAAAUCCCAGAGCUCAACUCUGGAACUGCCUUUGAUACUGGGUAUCUCGAGUAUGGAAGAGGUGAGUGGAAUUCCGAGUGUAGAGGUGAAAGUCGUAGAUAUUCGGAGGAACACCAGUGGCGAAGGCGGCUCACUGGUCCAUUACUGACGCUGAGGUGCGAAAGCGUGGGGAGCAAACAGGAUUAGAUACCCGUGUAGUCC